AACGAACGCUGGCGGCAUGCCUAACACAUGCAAGUCGAACGAGACCUUCGGGUCUAGUGGCGCACGGGUGCGUAACGCGUGGGAACCUGCCCUUAGGUUCGGAAUAACUCCCCGAAAGGGGUGCUAAUACCGGAUAAUGUCUUCGGACCAAAGAUUUAUCGCCUUUGGAUGGGCCCGCGUUGGAUUAGCUAGUUGGUAGGGUAAAAGCCUACCAAGGCGACGAUCCAUAGCUGGUCUGAGAGGAUGAUCAGCCACACUGGGACUGAGACACGGCCCAGACUCGUACGGGAGGGAGCAGUGGGGAAUAUUGGGCAAGGGGCGAAAGCCUAAUCCAGCAAUGCCGCGUGAGUGAUGAAGGGCUUAGGGUUGUAAAGCUCUUUUACCCGGGAUGAUAAUGACAGUACCGGGAGAAUAAGCACCGGCUAACUCCGUG
RNAcentral lists this ribosomal RNA (433 nucleotides) under uncultured bacterium. RNAcentral's name for it is "partial 16S ribosomal RNA". It matches the Rfam family "Bacterial small subunit ribosomal RNA", at positions 29 to 507 of the family's 1533-position model. The record is from RNAcentral.